RNAcentral lists this ribosomal RNA (426 nucleotides) under uncultured bacterium. RNAcentral's name for it is "bacterial SSU rRNA". It matches the Rfam family "Bacterial small subunit ribosomal RNA", at positions 357 to 775 of the family's 1533-position model. The record is from RNAcentral.
GGGAAUUUUGGACAAUGGGGGAAACCCUGAUCCAGCAAUGCCGCGUGUGCGAAGAAGGCCUUCGGGUUGUAAAGCACUUUUGUCAGGGAAGAAAUCCUUUGGGCUAAUACCCUAGGGGGAUGACGGUACCUGAAGAAUAAGCACCGGCUAACUACGUGCCAGCAGCCGCGGUAAUACGUAGGGUGCAAGCGUUAAUCGGAAUUACUGGGCGUAAAGCGUGCGCAGGCGGUUGUGUAAGACAGGUGUGAAAUCCCCGGGCUUAACCUGGGAAUUGCAUUUGUGACUGCACGACUAGAGUGUGUCAGAGGGGGGUGGAAUUCCACGUGUAGCAGUGAAAUGCGUAGAUAUGUGGAGGAACACCAAUGGCGAAGGCAGCCCCCUGGGAUAACACUGACGCUCAUGCACGAAAGCGUGGGGAGCAAACAG